CUUACCUAGUACACGGGUUUUUAAACAAUACUUUAAUACUCUUCCGAUAAACACCGGUAUACAAUAAAAACACUGCGGGGAAUCACGUGGUUUUAUUUUGAUAUGGAACACGGAAAAUGGCGGCGUCAUUGUCUCGAUCUUAGUACCGGUAAAGCCCAGGACAAAGUGCGGUUAGGUUAACUGGCAGCCGUGAUACAUAUGUCUCUCCUACCGCACGAGCCGCUCGCACUUCUACAACCUUGCAGAAGAGUCCGAGGAAAUCGUAUUUGAGCCACCAGGUUAAUACAGAAUCUGCGUAGAAGGCACACGCGUUUUGACUGUGUACGAAAUAAAGAUCAAAAGGGAAGAAAGAAGAUGGGCCCAAUGUCUUCCUCAAUGACGUCUUUACAGCUCGGGUCCUUCGGUUUACGUUGGGAAACACGCGAAGAAAUCCUGCCAGCUGACAAGAUGGGCAUAAAUUAACGAAAAUAAAAGACAGUAUGGCAGAAGAAAUAAUUUUGAUCUGACAAUUUUCAAAAACGGCAGUUUGCUUUACAAAUUAAAAGUUAAAACUAUUCAAAAUCAGGGUACAAUUUAUUCACAUAUUGUUUGUCAUUCCUACGUCUUAUAUAAGCGUUGUUUAAGUUAUUAUCACAUGCUAUAGAGUUUGAGACAUAGCCGCCGAUGCAGCAUAUUGACUGAUGUCUAAGAAAUGUGAUGUGAAUAUUCAUCCAAAUGGUGAACAGGUUUUCAAUUUAAUGCUGGCAUGUUAUUAUAUAUUUUGUUGCAUACAAACGAAUUUUGUAACAUUGUCAUGUACUCAAUAUGCAAGAUUAAAUUCUAUACGUUCAAAAGGGUGUGGGCUAAGUUAAGCUGUUCAAAUGUAAACUGCCGCCGUAACUUGGAUGUCUUAUAAAUUGCUGUUUCUAAAUGAUUGUACAAUAAC
Molecule: long non-coding RNA, 925 nt
Organism: Dreissena polymorpha
Lineage: Eukaryota; Metazoa; Mollusca; Bivalvia; Myida; Dreissenidae
Exons: 3
Source: RefSeq, a predicted model, not a curated record